Hysterangium stoloniferum is the source of this 95-nucleotide non-coding RNA. The record is from the annotation of a GenBank genome assembly. NCBI's taxonomy places the organism in Eukaryota, Fungi, Basidiomycota, Agaricomycetes, Hysterangiales, Hysterangiaceae.
GCCUUGGUAGCUCAGUUGGUAGAGCGUAAGACUCUUACAGUCCCUCUGACCGGGUGAGAGUGUUAAGGUCGCGGGUUCGAUUCUCGCCUGAGGCA